UACAGAGGUCUCAAGCGUUGUUCGGAUUCAUUGGGCGUAAAGGGUGUGUAGGUGGCGCCGUAAGUCGGGUGUGAAAUUUCGGAGCUUAACUCCGAAACUGCAUUCGAUACUGCGGUGCUUGAGGACUGGAGAGGAGACCGGAAUUCAUGGUGUAGCAGUGAAAUGCGUAGAGAUCAUGAGGAAGACCAGUGGCGAAGGCGGGUCUCUGGACAGUUCCUGACACUGAGACACGAAGGCCAGGGGAGCAAACGGG
This 253-nucleotide ribosomal RNA is filed under the name uncultured bacterium. RNAcentral's name for it is "partial 16S ribosomal RNA". It matches the Rfam family "Bacterial small subunit ribosomal RNA", at positions 524 to 776 of the family's 1533-position model. The record is from RNAcentral.